This 460-nucleotide ribosomal RNA is filed under the name uncultured bacterium. RNAcentral's name for it is "partial 16S ribosomal RNA". It matches the Rfam family "Bacterial small subunit ribosomal RNA", at positions 338 to 795 of the family's 1533-position model. The record is from RNAcentral.
CCUACGGGAGGCAGCAGUGAGGAAUAUUGGUCAAUGGUCGGGAGACUGAACCAGCCAAGCCGCGUGAGGGAUGAAGGUACAGAGUAUCGUAACCCUCUUUUGUCAGGGAACAAAGGCGGGGACGCGUCGCCGGAUGCGUGUACCGGAAGAAAAAGCAUCGGCUAACUCCGUGCCAGCAGCCGCGGUAAUACGGAGGAUGCGAGCGUUAUCCGGAUUUAUUGGGUUUAAAGGGUGCGGAGGCCGGUCUUUAAGCCCGCCGUUAAAGGCCGGGGCUCAACCCCGGCGCGGCGGUGGAAAUUGGCAGUCGCGAGUUGGCGAGAGGUAUGCGGAAUGCGCGGUGUAGCGGUGAAAUGCAUAGAUAUCGCGAAGAACCCCGAUUGCGAAGGCAGCAUGCCGGCUCCACACUGACGCUGAGGCACGAAAGCGUGGGUAUCGAACAGGAUUAGAUACCCCAGUAGUC